UAGGGAAUCUUCCGCAAUGGACGAAAGUCUGACGGAGCAACGCAGCGUGAGUGAUGAAGGUUUUCGGAUCGUAAAACUCUGUUGUUAGGGAAGAACAAGUUGGGUAGUAACUGACCCAACCUUGACGGUACCUAACCAGAAAGCCACGGCUAACUACGUGCCAGCAGCCGCGGUAAUACGUAGGUGGCAAGCGUUGUCCGGAAUUAUUGGGCGUAAAGCGCUCGCAGGCGGUCUUUUAAGUCUGAUGUGAAAGCCCACGGCUUAACCGUGGAGGGUCAUUGGAAACUGGAGGACUUGAGUACAGAAGAGGAGAGUGGAAUUCCACGUGUAGCGGUGAAAUGCGUAGAGAUGUGGAGGAACACCAGUGGCGAAGGCGACUCUCUGGUCUGUAACUGACGCUGAGGAGCGAAAGCGUGGGUAGCGAACAGG
RNAcentral lists this ribosomal RNA (429 nucleotides) under bacterium. RNAcentral describes it as "partial 16S ribosomal RNA". It matches the Rfam family "Bacterial small subunit ribosomal RNA", at positions 355 to 776 of the family's 1533-position model. The record is from RNAcentral.